Molecule: long non-coding RNA, 4484 nt
Organism: Cloeon dipterum
Lineage: Eukaryota; Metazoa; Arthropoda; Insecta; Ephemeroptera; Baetidae
Exons: 2
Source: RefSeq, a predicted model, not a curated record
GAUAUGAAUAUAUAUUUUUAGAAUAAAUUUUCCUUUAAUGAUUACACAGUGGGCUAUAAAAUGUCACCUGACUAAAAACAAUAGCGUGUGCAUGUGAGCGUGAGUGAAUAUAAAUAUUACACUUGUGUAAAAGAUCGUAGAUAACAUCAAAAUCCAAGUCCAGAGAGCGUUCUCGCGGGUCAAGGCCUGAGGUUGGCCGCUGGCUACCGCAGCAACAACACGAGCGAAUAUUACAAGGCACAUUCACGAGCAGCAUAGAGAGAAGAUGCCUUAUCGGCAAUUCGGUGGCACGAAAACCUUGUGUUUGAGGGGGUGGCAAUGAACCCCAACGCCCUAGAGAGAAAAGCACAGUGCGUGUGAUGUAGGAGUUGGAGGACCGUAUCGCAGUGAUUGUCCGCCUCAUUCUACAUUCAUGCUUAUUCCGAAAAGUCCAAUUAUUGUGCAUUCGCCAUUAGGUUUUUGAGCAGGUGUUUCGUAUGAGAUAAAAACCUUUUUAACGUUGUGAAAGUUAGAAGCCAAAAUGGCGUAAAAUGUGAAAAAAGAAAAUGUUGGUAUGAAGUUGUUGCUAUUUUCUACCAAAAUUUGUCUUCAACCUGCAAUUAUAGCAAAUCAAUGAAUUCUGAUGAUUUUUUUUUAAUUUGCAGGUGUUUCAUGAGUGAGUAGUGGGUUGGAUUAAUAUUAUAAUUUGAGAUUUCAAUAUAUUUUCCCUGCCAUCCUGCGUGGCAAUAUUUAAAUGAACUGCGCACUGUAAUUCCUCGUCACUUGGAGAGCAAGGCCAUAUUAUACUUUAAAUUUUACGAUAUUCGUAUUCAUUAAAAUUCACGCGCAUAAAACAAACAUUAAACGCUUUUAUACAUUUAAACGAGUGCGUUUGUAUGUACUUGUGUGCAAUUCACGGGUCGAUCCGCAGCUCAUUUCUUGGUCUCCAUGGCUACAGGGCCGGCAGUGUGACGCCUGCACCCUCUCCGCACCAUUUGUCACUUGGUUUAACAAAGAAUUCGGGCCCGAGGCACCGCCUCCGCCUGCCGAACCGCGCAAACAUUGUGUUGCCCGAACAAAGGUGCUGGGCUGGGCCUGGCUCAAUUUGAUUGCCCCUCGCGCCCCCCGCGGAUUUCGCCAGUUGUGCCGCUUGUGUUGUUGUUGUGUAUUGUUGCAGAAAGCGGUGCGCCGCGUGUUUGCUUAUAUUGAUCCCACACCGCCAGCUAUUAUAUUUAAUUAAGCCGGGUGGCCUAGUUGCUGAAUUUAAUCUAAUCAUGAAAAACGAGCCGCGAAAAUGACGGACACGUCGUCCGUAAUUAGACAAUGCUGUUACAGGACUAAAAAGCCGUUGAGCGCCGCGCUAACUGGCAAUUUUUGGUCACUUGUUCAAUCGUCAGUCACCUUAACUUUGAGCUAUAAGGUAUUUAAGUUUCAGCAGUAGCACCAACCACCAAUAAAAAAUGUUACCAUAAAUGAUGGGGGAAACUAUAUUUUUUUAAUAAAAUUAGGUUUAGCUGUGGAGGGGCAUGCUCACCAAAUGAAAAGACACAAGCUUUGCAGCCAUUUUUCUCUACAAAUAUCGCCAAAAUUUAGCUCUAAUUAAAACCUUAAAGAAUUUUCAAGGUUUCAUAACUACAUUCCUCUUUACAAUAAAUUGAUUAUAAUUGUAAGUGUACGAAAACUCAAAAGAGGAAGAUUUAGACCAAAGUUCACAUAAAAAUUCAGAAUCAUAGUUGGAGAAAAAAAUCGAAAUAUAAGAACUGCAAGUAAAAGAGUUUGACUGGCUGCCGAGACGAAAUAUCAGGCUGAGACCUCAACAAAGGGGGCAGUGCUGCGUACUGUGGCGAAUGAAGUUAGAAUGAGCACUCUCUGAUAGAAGUUCACCACUUCUGCGUAGUAAAUUUUCUCAAUGGGAAUCGUUUGGAAAGAUAAAACAAAAAUGCUGUUUGCGCCGGCAAGUGCUCUUUUUCCCUGCCGCACAUUCAGCGUAAACUACCAUCAGUAAAGGCCUUUUUUUAUAAACGCAUGAAAAGAUAAAAUUAGAUUUAUUCUCAAGAACUGCACUCGAGGAAACCCAUAAAAAUCGAGCCCUUUCAGCUGAAUAACAAACACUCUUUACGAUUGCUCACAACAGUUGUUGAUGCAAGAUUAAAUCAUAAAAAGCAACAAACUUGCGACCUGUGUGCACAUAUAUAUGUAUAUACAUAGUCAGUUGGCAUGCACCGCUGCAAUUGUCCGCGACAGCAGACAGACGUAGCGCGAGCAGCAUUCCACUCUCGCUCCGCAUCUCGGCAGCCGCGCCGCGCGCAUUAAUAUUAAGAACACCCAGCUGUGAGGAAUGAAACAAUAAAUCUCGAAUCGCAGACUCCCGCGCCACGCCGACGGACGUCUACAAUAAAUUCUCGCGUAAAAUAUUGUCCAUUACGACGGGCACCUCACGAUAUUAAAAUUGCACGUGUCUUCCUCGCAGCUCUCGCGAAAGAAAAACGCAACAUAAUGUGAGUGGCGGAGUUGGUGCAAGCUAAGCAGGUGUGGGUGUGGGUGCCACUUCGCCACCGCUGUGCUCAUUCAUACACCUCGCUCUUGGCAGACGGCAAAUACACUCCUCGUGAUGAUGUUUCAUGGAAGAUUCAAUUCACGCGCUUCCCUUGUGUAUACCACACGCAUGGUGCAGCGGUAAUUGUGUUGGUGCUUCUUGCGGCUGACCAACUGACAUAACAACCACACAGAGAGGUGAUAUGUGUUCUGGAAGUGGACACGCGUUAAAUACUUUUGGAGAGAGUAAGUAAUGAACCGAAAUAAAUCGAGAUUUUUAACCUUUAGAUGAGCGUUUAUCCGACAAAUAAUGAGAUUCGUAAGAUAGAUUCUUAAAUAAAUUUAAAAGGAUAUCUUUUUGGGAUUAUAAAAGAUGAGGGGCUGAAAUAGAAUUAUUUCGCACGUUGCAAAACUAUUGAUUAAUUUCAUUGAUGAUGUUAUAACGCAUCAUCAAAAAGAUAAAUUUGUGAUAAAAUCUCUUGGAACCCGGCACUCGCUCUUUCAGCGAUAUAAUUCACCCAUAAAGAAAAUUCUCAAGUCCAAAAUUUCAGUUGAACAAAAUUUUACAUGAUUGAUUCUGCGCAGAGCAAAAUUACAAUUCCUGGAUAUGACUGCAUGUAAAUAAAAAUAAGGCUUUAUUCCUGCUGGCAGAAAUAUUUGUAUCAUAACUAUAGUUUUGAAGCCGUGGUUGGCACCCUGAUUCAUAAAAUAUGCCAAAUUUUUAAAAUUUUCCUCUACAAGGAAUGCAAUAUAUCUGAUCUGCGUGGUGGAAAUAAAAAAAAUCGCUACACAGAUAUGAACGAAAUAAGUUUUGCAGCGUUUUCCUGGUAGUUAAUUUGCCAACAUCAAAGGGAGCAAAUCAGGCGGAAAAGAAGCUUUCAGCGCUGGUCGAUCGGGAGAGUGCGCAAAAUAACGCCCGGGAGCUUGUCGAUUGAUUUAUUGCGUUAAUGUUGGUUUAGCACACACUCACGUGCGGCACUGACCACAACACACACCCACUCUGGUCGCCCGGCAGCUAGUGGAGUUCGGUGACCCUUGCCUAAUAAAAUAUUGACCCACUAAACGAAAGCGCGGCGCCUACCGCUCAGCGCGCGACGCAAACAAACCCAGUAUGUUAUGCCUUGGAAAUUUCGGGAAUUUUUUCCUUGAUUUUCUGGCCAUAGCUCAAUUUAUAAUAAUUUAUUCAUAGAAUGAUCAUCGGAGCUUGUGCAAAUAAAAACAUCACGCAAGCGCCACUCGGGGAGGGCCAUAUUGUUACUCGCCGCCAGUCCCAAGAGACUCCUUUGCCGACCUUAGCACUGCUUCCUCUUGCCGGGGCCAAUCUAAUCUGGUCUAUCGCUUGUUCCAGAGAAAUUGGCUCCGAAUUAUACGGGCCUCGCCACGCAAUGACGUCAUUAUCUCGCUUUGUAACAGUCGCUGAAGCAAGAGAUGGACGGUGGGGCGCGUGUCAGUCUGUUAUACCCAUCGUGCCGCUCUUGCCACCUCUCGCGCGGCAAGAAGAGAAAAUUAGCGUGACCUGCAGAAGUGCGAGUCGCCAGGGAGUCGUAAAAGUUGAAGUUGUGUGGCAACAAUUUUUCGCGUUAAACUCUUGACUUGUGAAAUGAUGAGGUGGCGCCGCCGGCUUCAAAGCUUUGCACUUUUGUUGUAAAGUUGAGACAUGUGUUUUGUACCAAAGAAGCAAGUAGAAGGAUUUUUUACUAUUCAAGCCAUCGUCCGUGAUGUGAUAAAAUCUUUUGCCCAAGAAACAUUCUUGUGAUGCUUACACUUUUAAAUGUCCGAAGUGUCAAAAGCAAGCUCACGCGCAAAGAUUGAUAGUUAAGUUUUGAGAUACAGAGUUUGUUUGACAUAUUUCAAUGAAAUGAAAAACUAACAUUCUUGGAGACAGAGUUGAUGAUAGAUAUAUUUUCAUGCUUUGUAUAUUUUUUCGAGUUUUAUUAAGACAGGGUGCUGCAAAAAUCCCUAGAAAAGCU